RNAcentral lists this unclassified non-coding RNA (286 nucleotides) under Hevea brasiliensis (rubber tree). The record is from RNAcentral. Lineage: Eukaryota; Viridiplantae; Streptophyta; Magnoliopsida; Malpighiales; Euphorbiaceae.
GAGAAAUUAGAUGAGAUGGCAAUAAUCCAAACUGGAUGCGAUCAUUGACUCUCAAACUUGGUUCAGGAGUUAUUAGAUAUCCCAAUCGGGUCCUACCAGCUGCCCUUACAGUUAAGGUGAAAGGCAGCAACUUGACAGAUUAUUACAACUACAUUGGCUGCUUCUGCUGCACAGCGUCCUGAGGCAUCAAUGUCUUGACUUAAACCUUUUGUGAUGUUACGGCCAAAAGAAAAGUAAAUUUUAGAAUAUCUAUCUCACCGAUAAGCCCCUCAAUUUAGUGAAAUUU